GACGAACGCUGGCGGCGUGCCUAAUACAUGCAAGUAGAACGCUGAAGAGAGGAGCUUGCUCUUCUUGGAUGAGUUGUGAACGGGUGAGUAACGCGUAGGUAACCUGCCUUGUAGCGGGGGAUAACUAUUGGAAACGAUAGCUAAUACCGCAUAACAAUGGAUGACACAUGUCAUUUAUUUGAAAGGGGCAAUUGCUCCACUACAAGAUGGACCUGCGUUGUAUUAGCUAGUAGGUGAGGUAAUGGCUCACCUAGGCGACGAUACAUAGCCGACCUGAGAGGGUGAUCGGCCACACUGGGACUGAGACACGGCCCAGACUCCUACGGGAGGCAGCAGUAGGGAAUCUUCGGCAAUGGGGGCAACCCUGACCGAGCAACGCCGCGUGAGUGAAGAAGGUUUUCGGAUCGUAAAGCUCGGUUGUAAGUCAAGAACGGGUGUGAGAGUGGAAAGUUCACACUGUGACGGUAGCUGACCAGAAAGGGACGGCUAACUACGUG
This 497-nucleotide ribosomal RNA is filed under the name uncultured bacterium. Its description in RNAcentral is "partial 16S ribosomal RNA". It matches the Rfam family "Bacterial small subunit ribosomal RNA", at positions 28 to 507 of the family's 1533-position model. The record is from RNAcentral.